This 486-nucleotide ribosomal RNA is filed under the name uncultured bacterium. Its description in RNAcentral is "partial 16S ribosomal RNA". It matches the Rfam family "Bacterial small subunit ribosomal RNA", at positions 30 to 507 of the family's 1533-position model. The record is from RNAcentral.
AUUGAACGCUGGCGGCAUGCCUUACACAUGCAAGUCGAACGGCAGCACGGGUGCUUGCACCUGGUGGCGAGUGGCGCAGGGGUGAGUAAUAUAUCGGAACAUGUCCUGUAGUGGGGGAUAGCCCGGCGAAAGCCGGAUUAAUACCGCAUACGAUCUACGGAUGAAAGCGGGGGACCUUCGGGCCUCGCUCUAAAGGGUUGGCCGAUGGCUGAUUAGCUAGUUGGUGGGGUAAAGGCCUACCAAGGCGACGAUCAGUAGCUGGUCUGAGAGGACGACCAGCCACACUGGGACUGAGACACGGCCCAGACUCCUACGGGAGGCAGCAGUGGGGAAUUUUGGACAAUGGGCGAAAGCCUGAUCCAGCAAUGCCGCGUGUGUGAAGAAGGCCUUCGGGUUGUAAAGCACUUUUGGCCGGAAAGAAAGCCAUGGCCCUAAUACGGUCGUGGGAUGACGGUACCGGAAGAAUAAGCACCGGCUAACUACGUG